Molecule: ribosomal RNA, 472 nt
Filed under: unidentified nematode Sourhope farm
Lineage: Eukaryota; Metazoa; Nematoda
Description: SSU rRNA
Rfam family: Eukaryotic small subunit ribosomal RNA
Source: RNAcentral
UGUAAGCACAUGCCUUAAAACGGUAAAGCCGCGAAUGGCUCGGUAUAACAGCCACUGUUUAUUAAACUCUAGUUAUCUACUUGGAUAACUGUGGCAAAUCUAGAGCUAAUACAUGCACGCAGGCUCGGACCUUUUGGGAAGAGCGCAUUUAUUAGACCAAAACCAAUCGGGCUUCGGCCUGUGUUUUGGUGACUCUGAAUAACUCAGUCGAUCGCACAGUCUUAGUACUGGCGACGUAUUUUUCAAAUGUCUGCCUUAUCAACUUUCGAUGGUAGGUUAUACGCCUACCAUGGUUAUAACGGGUAACGGAGAAUUAGGGUUCGACUCCGGAGAGGGAGCCUGAGAAAUGGCUACCACAUCCAAGGAAGGCAGCAGGCGCGCAAAUUACCCAAUCCCAGAACGGGGAGGUAGUGACGAAAAAUAACGAGGUAAUCCACUUUGUGGCUUGCCAUCGGAAUGGGCACAAUAUAAA